UGUGUCGUUUUUGAAUUUUUGUAAAAUCUUCUAGUGAAAAUACCAUAUAGUAGACAUAAAGUUGAUUAGAACUUUCCAUUAAGUAUAAUCUUGAGCUAAUCCCUUAUCUUCUAUCUUCCCUGCCUGUUUCUAAGGAUGCUAUGAAGAACUAAUAAGGAGAUAUUUUAUUUAAGGCAUUGUUGUUAUAAGCACAAGGACGACAUGACUCAAAAGAUUUGGCUAAGAAUGAUAAGCAUUCAAUGAUAAACUUUUAUAGGUGCUGGAGAGAAGAAAAAAACAUGCCAGGCCUCUUCUCCACAGCUGCUCACCCCUAUCCCAAGGACAUCACAGCCUGUUCUACUGGAUUCUCUGAUGAUGGAAAUUGUCUUAGACUUAUUAUGAAUUUGCAAGGAAAAAAUAGGUCUUUGGGCUUAUAACUCAUUGGAACACAUUGAAACCAGAAGGAAAAGUAAUAAUAUAGAAUACCUUUGGGAUAUUUCACUAAAGUUAGUUCUUGUAUUUCUCCUAGGAUGGAAUAGAUCAACUAUAAUUAAAGAUGAAAUUGAUUUUCCUCUCAUCUUAGAAGAAGACUGUUUAAGUGUCUAUUCUUCAUCUACUUUUAACGGCUUCAAAGACCUGAUUGGACUCAUUCUCAAAUUCUGUGGGAAGAUGAUGAUCACUGAACAAAAGGGUAUUGCUGCAAGCUUAAUCAUUUUCAAGGUCAUCCCUUUCAUCCUUCAUUCAGAAAGACAUGAAAUUGGACUUUUUCCAGUUUUUAGGAAUGUAUUAGUCUUCAGGAGCUGUGGCAAGCAGAGCAGCAAGCACCAGUGCGCUAAUUCAUGAUGUACCGUAGGAAGCAAAACAGCUGGCCCUGUAGAUUUGAAUAAUAUCCAAGAUUACUUGUAAAUUUUUGGACAACGCAAGCCAAUAUGAAGUCUCUGCUCUCAAAGAACUCACGUUUCACUUAGAGAUACUGAAAACACCACAAAAGGAAACCUUGAAAAUCCUGCCCAGAGCCCAGUGGAGGUGAUUUAACCCUGUACCUAUUCCUGGGAAUGUAACAGCACGGACAGAGAAACUGAGAUAGUAGAUGCACUUGAAGUGGUGACCGAACAAUCCUGAAUGCAAAGCAUUGUAUUGCAUAGAAAAUAAAGAAUAGGGAAAAAAAAAAACAAACAACCCACAAUUUUAGUGCCUUUCCUUCCAGUCUUUUUCUGUGUAUAUUUAAAAAUAAAUAAGCUUGAGAUUUUACAGCUGCGUUAGUCUUUUUAACCACAAUUUU
This is a long non-coding RNA of Talpa occidentalis (Iberian mole), 1261 nucleotides long. RefSeq lists it as uncharacterized. The record is from RefSeq and is a predicted model, not a curated record. Lineage: Eukaryota; Metazoa; Chordata; Mammalia; Eulipotyphla; Talpidae. The transcript is spliced from 7 exons.